Molecule: long non-coding RNA, 3933 nt
Filed under: Gallus gallus (chicken)
Lineage: Eukaryota; Metazoa; Chordata; Aves; Galliformes; Phasianidae
Description: lncRNA (ENSGALG00010026842.1)
Source: RNAcentral
GCAGAAGCCAGGAAGGAAAAUCUCAUGCUUUUAAGAACUCUGCUCUGUAAUUGGAUGAAUCUACCUUCUCUGCUUAAAAGUAGAGAAGACAGAUGAAUGAGCUUGAGCUGUACUUUCAAGGCUUACCACAUGUAGCAGUCUGAAGGGGAUCUGUGGAGUUUGUCUUGAGAAAAUACCACUGUUUGGGAACUAUUCCAGCUCCCAGAUGCUGAGCAUUUUGCUGUUGACCUCAGGUGCUGAAUUAACAUGAUGCAACCCAGAGAUGCAAAGGGAUUUCUUUCAUUAACAGUGCUGUGAUGCUAGUGAGAACAGAAGAUGUGUUUCCUAGACAACCACCAUCACUCUUUAGGUUUCAUGUGGGUUGGUGAGUUGAAUUGCGUCAUGGAGAGUCGCGGGAGCUGAAGGCUGACACAAGUUGAGCAACAAAGUGGGAGAAGAAGGGGGGAGAGUUGGGCUUGCUCAAAAUCCAGCAACACCUCUUUCACUAAUUGGAUACUAGGAGCUUUAAAUACUGUCACUUAUCUAACCUUUUACAAUUAAUAUUAAUGGAAAUUAAUUACCGGGAAAAAGGAGGUGUUCUACUGUCAUCAUUAGGAAGAUUGUGGAACAGUUUAUCAUGAAAACUAUUUACUGGCAUGUGAAGAACAGAAGUUUGAUUGUAAACAUCCAGUGUGGAUCUACCAAGAGCAAAUUGUGCUGGACCAACCUGGAUUGACUGUUACGGUGAAGUGACACCGCUGUGCACGAAGAGCCUGUGACUUUGUCCUCAAGACUCAAGCCUGAAGAAAACAUCCAGCUUGAAUCUUAUUUCUAUCUUUCUAUCAAAAACCUGGUGCUUGGUCACCAGGCCUCACCUCCUUCCAAAGAUGCUGUGUGGGGAAGUAGCGCCUGGCUGAGCAGGGCUCCCUCUGACCUUCCUUCUACUCCUGCCUAGAAGUGGCCAGCAUCCCACAUCUGCCCCACACCUGGAUGAUGUAAAAGAGGAGAACCUUAAUUAGCGAACAUGGAAGCUGUUUGUUUUCCUUCCCCUCGUGACCAAUUCCUUCAGCAGGGAGGCCAUCAGUGGAGACCUCCUCUCAGCUGUCCUACAACCAUUCAAGCACGAGACUGGGACAUGCCAAAGUUCAACUGAGCUCCAGGAGUUACCGAGGAAAAAAAGAAGCAUAUGGCCACCAGUGAAAUCUAAAGGGCCAAAGAGAAUAACUAGGGUUUAUGCAUAAAAGCUGGAUAGAACCGAGCUCUCUCACAUGGGUCAGGUUGAUGGUUGGGCUCAAUGUUCUUGAAGUUCUUUUCCAGCCUAGAUGAUUCUAGGGCUUAUGCAAUUUGUGAUGAGCCAAGCAAAGACCUUUCUCCCAGUCAGCAUUAUGUAAAAUGGUUGCAUUCACAGCUUGAGACCGUUUUCUUCCUGAGCUGGGAUUCCUUAGGUGAUCAAAUGCACUGUUAAAGAGACGGAAAGCAGCCUGUUCCAUCCCUUGACUGUUAUGGUAUAGCAAAUAUUAUGUAUAACUGACUGAUUUUUGUGAGAGCCAUGAAAAGUGUAUGAGCUUGCAAAAGGUUUAUGUAUGUUUUAUAGCUGAAACAACCAUGAGAGUAAAACUACAUUGUUUUACUCUUUCAUGCUUCCUUUCUGCUUUUAGAUCACGUUGCCCGUGAAGUCAAGCGGGAGGUUCUUUAAUUUCUGCAAAUGUCUCUGGGAAAAUGUAGCACUACAGUUAUGUAUUUACGAAAUGGCAUUAAGUACGUUGUAAAUUCUAUCAAUCAAACUGAAUGUUGCCAAAUGGGAUAUUAUGUUUGUUAAUGAAACAUGUUUCCCAUUCACACUCCCUAAUGGAGCAGGAAACAGAGACUACAGCACCUUUUCUGUAAUUCCCUGCAGCCAGAAUUUUGUUUCCCAGAACUAACUCCACUGGGGGUGUUCCACCAUUGGAUCACUCCAUCUUAUUUCCAGUACAAUGGGAUUUUCAGCAAUGAUAAUUAUGCUUUGAAAAUGCUAAGUGACAAGCUCAUAGCUGGUAUAAAGCAAUUCAAAUGAACCUAUGCUAGUUUCAUGUCAUAGCCACUGUGUGCAUGUAGUAGAAAAGCAAAAGCUUUAAGCCCUGUGAACAUUUCUUUUUAAUUAGAAACAUUGCUACGGAAAAGGCAUAACUUCUUCUAUUUCUUUUCUAUUUUUUUUUUUAAUCCGCAAGUAAAUGGAUGUUGGACUAGGAUGAUCCUUUGUGAUCAGAAAGUUCAGUAUGAUCUUACUAAAUGUAGAAAUACUUUGAAAGUGGAUAGUCUUGCAGAUCUCAAUAGCUUUGAAAGCCUGGCAAGCUAUGGCUCCUAAAAAUUGGAAGCCAAAUAAUGUGAAAGCAUGUAAAUUGUAUACCAGGUAGGAGAAAACCACCUUCUGAUUUGUAAAAAAUCAUGGUUUUUUGCUAAAUUAAAAAAAAAAAAAAAAAAAAAAGAAAAAACCUGCUGAGAACUGGCUGCAUCACUAACUCUAAGGAUUUAUGUUAUAUAGAUCCAUUUCCAUGCGAGGCUUUAAAUGUUAUACUGCUCUAAAUUAGCUAAGGAUUACUUCAUCCUCUAAAUUAGGUGAGGAUUGGUUUGUCCUCAGACAGCCUUGUGACAAAAGGAAUGUAUUUCCAGUCAUUACGGUAAUCUGCUACAAUAAAUUGAAAAUUAAACUUCAUGCAUUACUCUAUCCCUGAAACAAACACAGUAAUCAUUUACCUUGUCACUGACAUUCUAGUAGUUACAAUUUGAUUUAAAUACUGAAUUAGCAACACUUAAUUUUUUUAUAUUAAAAAUAAGAAAAUAAAUCUGAAAAUAGAAAUCACCAUAAUGGAGACUUUUUUUUUAAUGUAGAAAAGGUGCUGUGCAUCAAAUGAAGUGAAAUACAUUUCCAUCACUUUUAACUUAGGAAAAGCUUCAUUUUCCACUCAUAAAUAGAAUUUUUGCCUGUCGUCUUAGGAAAAUACGCACUGUAAUAAAUAUCUUAAUUUGCUUAUUAUAGUUUUAUUGUCUGCAUUUGAAAAUAUGAAGGCUACUCUGAAAGUAAUGCCUCCUAUUUCACUGUGUUGGCCUAUGACAUCAGAGGCAGAUGUUGGUGUUAUUGUAGUAGAGGCUGAAUCUUCCUAACAAUAUUUCAUUACAUUUUGUUGCUGCGUGACCAACAGUAGCAGAGGGACAUUCUGGCAUAGUCGCAUCUGACAUGGAAGUGCAGUGUGUCAUUUAAUUCCUCCAUGUGAAAAAAUUGGCAAUCAUUGAUAUUCACUGAUACUUGCUAAACCGAAGACCGAACAGUGGAUGUGAGCCUCACCACAGUGAGGUGGUGGGUGGUGCAUUUCAGCAGUGGUAACAGUGAUGUAGAAGAGAAGUCGUGUUUCGGAUGGCCAUGAACAGCUCUCAUACCAUGAAAUGAAGAGCAUCUUGAUCAACUCAUCUGUGCAAAUCAGCAGAUUAUAACCAGGGAAUGGUGUACAGAGCUGAAUAUUAUCUUCAAUGCAUUGGAAACAGCGAUGGCAAUAUUGGACUAUCACAAAACUCGUGCCAUGUGGGUCCCAUGAGUGCUCACAUAGGAACAGAAAAAACACUGAAUACAGGUUUGUCAGGACCUCAUGAACCAAUAUGAGGCUGAAGAUGAUUGUUUCCUGGAUCACAUCAUUACUAGUGAUGAAACAUACGUGUUGUCACUACCACGAGCUGGAGUUUGGACUUCUUUUCUGUUGUAUAGAGCUGCCAUUCAGACUGCAUGAGUGAAAAGAAUGUUAAAACAUACCAUACCAGGUGAUGUUGGAAGAGUAUACACCCAGGAAAUAUCCAAGUUAUCCCCAAAUAACCUGAACAUCCAAAUGUUUCCAUUUAUCACUAAGAAAGUUGUGAGAAAGGACCAAACAGUAGUUUUUUAUAUGUUUGUUUUUGGUUUUGUUUUGAUAAAGUUGUUAUAGCAGC